RNAcentral lists this ribosomal RNA (253 nucleotides) under uncultured bacterium. Its description in RNAcentral is "partial 16S ribosomal RNA". It matches the Rfam family "Bacterial small subunit ribosomal RNA", at positions 524 to 776 of the family's 1533-position model. The record is from RNAcentral.
UACGGAGGGGGCGAGCGUUGCUCGGAAUUACUGGGCGUAAAGGGCGCGUAGGCGGGAUGGCAAGUCGGUCGUGAAAUCCCUCGGCUCAACCGAGGAACGUCGAUCGAUACUGCUGUUCUUGAGGAUUGCAGAGGAGACUGGAAUUCCCGGUGUAGCGGUGAAAUGUGUAGAGAUCGGGAGGAACACCGGUGGCGAAGGCGGGUCUCUGGGCAAUUCCUGACGCUGAGGCGCGAAAGCGUGGGGAGCAAACGGG